RNAcentral lists this ribosomal RNA (253 nucleotides) under uncultured bacterium. Its description in RNAcentral is "partial 16S ribosomal RNA". It matches the Rfam family "Bacterial small subunit ribosomal RNA", at positions 524 to 776 of the family's 1533-position model. The record is from RNAcentral.
UACGAAGGGUACUAGCGUUGUUCGGAAUCACUGGGCGUAAAGCGCACGUAGGCGGAUUUGUAAGUCAGGGGUGAAAUCCCGGGGCUCAACCUCGGAACUGCCUUUGAUACUGCGAGUCUUGAGUCCGAUAGAGGUGGGUGGAAUUCCUAGUGUAGAGGUGAAAUUCGUAGAUAUUAGGAAGAACACCAGUGGCGAAGGCGGCCCACUGGAUCGGUACUGACGCUGAGGUGCGAAAGCGUGGGGAGCAAACAGG